RNAcentral lists this ribosomal RNA (450 nucleotides) under uncultured bacterium. RNAcentral's name for it is "bacterial SSU rRNA". It matches the Rfam family "Bacterial small subunit ribosomal RNA", at positions 355 to 796 of the family's 1533-position model. The record is from RNAcentral.
UAGGGAAUAUUGCGCAAUGGAGGAAACUCUGACGCAGCGACGCCGCGUGGGUGAUGAAGGUCUUCGGAUCGUAAAGCCCUGUCGGAAGGGAAGAAAAACGAUUUGGCUAAUAUCCAAGUCGCUUGACGGUACCUUUAAAGGAAGCACCGGCUAACUACGUGCCAGCAGCCGCGGUAAUACGUAGGGUGCUAGCGUUGUUCGGAAUCAUUGGGCGUAAAGCGCGUGUAGGUGGUUAAGUAAGUCGGGUGUGAAAUCCCUCGGCUCAACCGAGGAAGUGCAUCCGAAACUACUUAGCUAGAGGACGGUAGAGGAAGGUGGAAUUCCAAGUGUAGAGGUGAAAUUCGUAGAUAUUUGGAGGAAUACCGGUGGCGAAGGCGGCCUUCUGGGCCGUUCCUGACACUGAGACGCGAAAGCGUGGGUAGCAAACAGGAUUAGAUACCCCUGUAGUCC